ACUCGAGCCUGCCUCGGCGGAAGCGCUAGCGGGCGACUCGGCCACCCUGCGCCGGCGCCCCUACCCAGCCGCCCGCCCGCACUUCCCUAUCCCGGGGGAGCCCGGAUGACUUGGGUCAGCCUCCGCUCGGGGAACUCCGCUAGGGAUUCCAAUAGGGACCGCGCGGGCGUGGCAAGGCGCCCCAGGCGGCCUCCCCGGCCCCCGAGGACGUGGGGCCUUGGGGAGUGCCUGGGAGGCCCCAGGCGGGCUUCCCAUCUCCUGGACACCCCCAGGCAGCCCUCCUAGACGCUCAAGACUCUGAGCCGGACUCCGAAUCCCUUCCUGGUCCAUCAAGGCGGCCGGCCUGGGGACAGGCGGGGAGACGUCACAGGAGAUACCCCCGCCCCAAGAUGCCUGAAACCUCCACGGGCUCCCACUGAACCUCCCAAAUCGAAGCCCCUACAACAUGCUCUCAACAUCUCCAGAACAUCUACUGAGGGUACCCAGGUCUUCUCCCUGUCACCUCCUCCCCUCGCCCUAUUCCAAGCCCCACCAUGAAGAGCUGUAAAUGACAUUGAUAGCCACGCACAUCAGGCUUCACAGACUUUCUUAAGGAUAGGCACAAGAAGACUCGUUAAAGUGUCAUGCAAACUCCAAAGCACAGGAAAACCGAAUGGAAUUAUCAUCUUGCCCCCAUGGAGCUCCACACCCCUCCACCCCGACAGACUUGCUGGAUUACAGAUUGGGAGAUGGAGGCAGGCUAUAGACAUACAAUUGAGCACACCAACCUGUAGUAGGAGUGGGAGUUAAUAAGGAAGAGAAGGAGGCACUAAACACCUAAAAGCAGCCCCCAAAUUGAGCUAGGUUGAAGUCAUUCUCCAUCUCAACCUCCACUCCGAAAUCCAACGCUGACAGUGGAUCCUUACCUUGCAAAGCCAGCUCUUGGUCCAGGAGACUGGCUGGGGAGGCCCUAGGGAGCUGAACUCAGCUGGACUGGACUUCUUUGACCUGCACUAGAGGGACCCUGGAGACUCUUCUUCACUGAAGGAAGGAGCAGAAAGCCUGAACAGCAGGAGGCUGAACUACAGGAAUCUCUGGUCACUCAUUGACAGGGCUGGCCUUAGCAGGGGACCCCCCACGGCUGGAGACUGAAGCUGACCGGGGCCAAGCAGCAGACAAGGAGGGGGAGGGGAGAGGCCGCCCUUUGCUGCCACCUGCUAUAGCUAAUGGAGGUGGAACACUCAAGAUCCAGAAUAUGCUGUGGGUACCAGGAAGUCCUAGGAUUUGAGGAGCGAGACUCUAGUUUUUCCUCUCUUCAUACUGUUUGAAGUCAUGAAAGUAAUUCUGAUGAACCUUCAUGAGGCAGAUCACAACAGUAAUAUUCAGGCUAUUUGGGUAUGUAAAAAAAGGAAGAAGGAAAAAACCCAAACUGUUGUAUCCCAUGUGCCAAGACCCAGCACUGAGGGGAGGGGUCCAGAUUGCAGUACCUCAGAGGCUUUUCACUUCAUUCUGUUUCACGGCCCCCAGCUCCUCUUUACUGUACUGGGCAGGAGGAAUUUCAGGGAAUAAUCAAGCCUGCCAUGGAGGCAGUGGAUGCUGAGGCAGAGGGUCGAAACAGCACCCAACUUCUCUCACUGACCUCCCAACACAGGGACCAGCUGACCCUAUGAUAAAGGCGCUGUGCAAUGUGUCCUCUCCCCUGCUGUGUCAGGCCUCUAUGUUCCCACAGUUAGAGCACUCAGGGGACUAAAGACCUACCGCCCCCACUCUCCAUCUCCGCCCUGCUCCACAUCUGGAGCCCAUCAAAAAACUCAGCGCUCUCUCACAGUUACGCAAGAGGUCGAGCAGCUGGGAGCUCAGGAAAGGGGGAGGAAGAGAGGGAAAGAAAGCAGAAAACAGCUUUCCAGGCCUGCUUCAGACUUUCCGAAGUGGAAGCAGGGGGAGAGGGCAAAGCCUGGGUGUGGAAGGAAGAGUGGAUUUUUCUAAGGCCCUUUGCAUUGGCUACAAGUGUCAGGAGUGAAUUUCCAUACUCCUGCUUUUGCCUUGGCACAUUCCCCACUUUGUCCCACCUCUCAAAUUGUACUCCCUCUAGCCCCAGAGAGGUGAUUAUUGCUCAUACAGCAAGCAAUCCUUGUAGAUACACACCCUCUUCCAGAAAGCUGUCCGUUUCUGGCCUCUGGAUCCUGAAGUCAGGCAUCAUUGGUGUAGGCGUGGUGGUAGCAAUGACCCUGCAGCAACUUGGGGAAAAGUUCAAAGCUCUCUUUUCAGCUGUCUUAGAAAUUGCAUAGUCUGCUUCGACCCAAAGCUAACAUGCAUCCAAGCUAAGUGGGAAAUUUGGGUAGGACAGAAGACUGGUCUUGUGUACCUCCAAGGCUAAGGGCUUUCCUAAUGAGCUAAAAGAACAAGCAUUCAUUUGGGCAAAAGAAUGGGAGACAAGACCUAUUUCAAUUUCUCUCAUUGUCUUGAAUUUCUAAUGCUUCUUUCAAACAGCCCCUGUCCUGGUUUGGUAAUCAAUCUGAUCACCCAGAGUAAACCUAGGGAAGCUUUCCAGUAUUGGUUUAGACCCUAAAUAACCACUUAGCCCCUGCCCUAAGAACAGCAGGGCAAAAAAACUGCGGUGGGGGAUGGGAGAAGUGGUCCAAGCUUCUGAAAACUGCCUAAUAGCUUGACUUGUGAUUGUGAGAGGGAAAACAGCCUGGUUUGGAAAGAUAGUCUAAUUUUUCUAAAGGCCUACCUCCGUAUCAAUCCCCAACUCCCCAGGAUAAGACGUUAAGGCAGCUAUUUGUAGUGUUGCUGUCUGCCCUUGGGUAACAGCAAUGCACAGCAACCAACCUACUUGUGGAUCUUCUAGGACAAGGGAAUUGGGGGUAAGGGGGUUGUAAUAAGACAGAUGUGCAUAGCAAAAGAAAAUCAUUUGUGAGGUUUUGCUUGAGAUUCCUCUAGAGCCUACAAGACAGAAGCCAUGUUACCUACUCUCAUAUAGAUCCAUGUUUAGUACUAGCUGUAGUUAACACUUGUCUAACUUGGAAAAAAAAAGGCUUCACAAGCAGAUAGUCAUUGCUUCCAGUUAGACUUUAAUCUUCUUGAGGAUGACUUUUUCCAUUUUUCUCCUGUCUCCUUCCAAUAAGCCCUGUCAGAUGUGAAGUUUAAUAAAAAGCUAUUCUAUAUCAACCCUGGAAAUCUCAGACCCUAGCCAGUGUGAACAACUUUAAAACUGUUCACAAUUUAAAAAUUAAUUGGAGGGCAAAGUUUCCCAUCAGAGAUGCAUGGGUUGACAAAUUUGAAGCUAUGGUGAGUAAAGGAAUGACAGACCUUAAUCAUUUCAUUCGAUUAAGGCUACAGUCUCAGACAGCUAAGCCACACUUGAGCAACAUUAGACCAGAUACUUUUUUUCACCAAGAAAAAAAAAAUCAGAAUCUUGGCUUUCAACAUUAGAAAUUUCUCAUCCCAGAUACUUAAUAAGUGAGAAUAAUUUGCCUUCCAAUUUUUUGACACCCAAUAGUUUUUCCAAGUUAAAUUUUAAAAAAGCAUAAGAAAGUAAGCAGCUCUGGCGGAGCGCGGUGGCUCAGGCCUAUAAUCCCAGCACUUUGGGAGGCUGAGGCGGGCGGAUCACGAGGUCAGGAGUUUGAGACCAGUCUGACCAACAUGGUGAAACCGUCUCUACUAAAAAUACAAAAAUUAGCCGGGGGUGGUGGUGUGGAAUGCCUGUAAUCCCAGCUACUCAGGAGGCUGAGGCAGGAGAAUCACUUGAACCCUGGAGGUGGAGGUUGUGGUGAGCCGAAAUCAUGUCACUGCACUGCAGCCUGGUGACUGUCUCAAAAAAAAAAAAAAAAAAGGCUGGGCGCGGUGGCUCACGCCUGUAAUCCAGCACUUUGGGAGGCAGAGGUGGGCGAAUCAUCUGAGACCAGGAGUUCAAGACCAGCCUGACCAACAUGGUGAAACCGUCUCUACGAAAAUACAAAAAAAAUUAGCCCGGCAUGAUGGCGGGUGACUGUAAUCCCAGCUACUCUGGAGGCUGAGGCAGGAGAAUCGCUUGAAGCUGGGCGACCGUGGUUGCAGCGAGCUGAGAUCGCACCACCACACUCCAACCUGGGCAGCUAAGCGAGACUCCAUCUCAAAAAAAAAAAGUAAGCAGGUUUAUCUGAGGGAAUUAUCAACAGUUCCCAAAAAUUGUUCCCAUUAUCCCUCAUCCCUGGAUCACUUCUCAUCACGGUCUAAUGGGGAAGAGAAGACUCCAAGACUCCAAGAUUAAAGAUGAAGCCUGACUUUUUUGACUCUCCAACUGCCGUCUGACAAAAUUAAGACUCCAAUCCCCAAAAAGGCCAGAAGUAGCAUCAAAUUCAAAAGCUACACUGUCAGGAGUGCAUGUAUCAAAUGUAGAAAAAUACGCAAGGAAGCACAAUACAUAUAAGAUGGAAAAAGGCAAUGAAUACUCUCACAGAUUACUUUCUCUUAAAAAAAACAUGUCAUUAAUUUUUAAUGUUAGGUCCCAUUACAGCAUCCUGAAUCAACAAGCAGACACCAAAGU
This 4507-nucleotide long non-coding RNA is filed under the name Homo sapiens (human). RNAcentral describes it as "non-protein coding lnc-IFT46-2:1". The record is from RNAcentral. Lineage: Eukaryota; Metazoa; Chordata; Mammalia; Primates; Hominidae.